GAGACAGCAGUAGCCGCGGUAAAACGGAGGGUGCAAGCGUUAAUCGGAAUUACUGGGCGUAAAGCGCACGCAGGCGGUCUGACAAGUCAGAUGUGAAAUCCCCGGGCUUAACCUGGGAACUGCAUUUGAAACUGUCAGGCUGGAGUCUUGUAGAGGGGGGUAGAAUUCCAGGUGUAGCGGUGAAAUGCGUAGAGAUCUGGAGGAAUACCGGUGGCGAAGGCGGCCCCCUGGACAAAGACUGACGCUCAGGUGCGAAAGCGUGGGGAGCAAACAGGAUUAGAUACCCGCGUAGUCCCUGUCUCUUAUAC
RNAcentral lists this ribosomal RNA (308 nucleotides) under uncultured bacterium. RNAcentral's name for it is "partial 16S ribosomal RNA". It matches the Rfam family "Bacterial small subunit ribosomal RNA", at positions 505 to 807 of the family's 1533-position model. The record is from RNAcentral.